AAAUAGUCACGAAAUUUAAUCUAUUUGAUUUGUGUACAUAGAUACGAGUUUCCAUUUCUUUUUCGUGACACUCCGCAUGACUUUCAACUACGUAUUUUUAGUUAAUCGUUUUCCAACUAUAGUCCAGCAACACGUGUCAAUUUCUGUUCCAGUCUUUUCAAAAUAAAACUGCUCAGUUAGGUUUAGGAAUAGAUUGACUUGUUUAGGUUUAGGAAUAGAUCGACAUGGUUAGGCUUAGGCAACAAACUACUUAGUUAGACUUAGGAAAAGAUUGUGAUUGGGUUAAAAGAACUUCAGAAGUGCCAUAACUUGACAAACAAAUACACUCUGACUUGUGGUUUCCUACAGGACGUUGACCCACCCGUCAACCCCGACCUCUUCCCUACAGGGAGUUUGCCGUCCUUUAUACUUCCCGGUUCACAAUUACGUUGAUUACAUACGAAUUGAUUUCGUGCUGACCAUCAGACAAAAAAAAUGUACACGAAUCAAUAUAUCAAUUUACAUGACUAUUUUAAGAACUGCUGUGCGACCGGGCUGGUUUAUCAGAGCUUUUUCACUGAAAACGAUGACGUUGAACCAAAACGGCAAAGUCAUAAAACCAAAACAAAUUGUUUAAAGAUGCUAAAACGUUUCAUCGAGCUGAGGGAACAUGCAGAGUUGGAUAAUAAUUCUCUGCUGGUUCAUCACUAAGUGCAAUCUCUUUAACAUUACACAUAGCCAUUUUAUACAUUGUGGAUAUAAAAGCACUGAUUGGUGCAGCUUUAUAAUCAAACUACUUUUUCUAUUACCGGGUUUCUGUUCUGCCUUAUAUAUAACUAUUCCCAACAGUCACUCAGUCUAGUGCAGCCUAUGCUUAAGCAUCAUUACGGAGUAAAACAAUGAGGUUGUAUUUUCCCAUCGUACUGCAGUAAAACAUAUGGACCUAUAGCUUGGAAACGGUGUCAGCCUCAUUGUGACCAGCAGCUUCACAUCAGUCAGAGAGACUGAGGCAACUCAGCUGUUACUCAGUGUUUUAAUGGCCCAUUCAAAUUAAAGGCAUUGUCAACAAGGCAGUUGGCUUUAUCAAGGUUGUUGAUCUAAGCAGGCAAUUUUCUUCUUAGGAACCAAGAGGAAUGAGAUGGUUGAGAGCAAGUUAAAAAAAAAAGAAAAAGGCUCAUCUGUGGAUGCUGAUGCAGCUUCACACACACACCGUAUACUGGCAGAUUUAGAAGGGGAAACACACAGAGAUGCUGUUUUUAGUCACUCCAAUCAUUUAUUUCUUUGUGGGUCAUCUUUUUUGUCUCCAAGACGGUUGUCCUUUUCUAUCAAUUGGAUGAGAUCAUGAUUCCGGAGAAACAGACAUCUGACAAGGCAAAGACCUAUACAGAGCAUCACGUGUAGAAGAAAACAUCACUGUGAUUAUGACUAUUCAGCAUGAGACAGUCAGAAAGAGGAAGCAAAAGGCCACAUUUCACCCCACCCCCUGCGAAAAUCAAUCUUCUGGAGCAUUGUGAGACCAGCAUACCGAUGAGCCUUCAUUCACAUGUAUCCUCCCUUUGUUGCUCUCUUGGCCUCCCUCUCAUGAAAACUGAAAUUAAUAUCUGAUUUAUAGGAACCUUUGAAAUCGCAUUAUGCAUCUGAAUCAGGACUAUACGCUGGCAAUAAUGUCUAUAAGGCGCAACAUGUUGGAUCUUUAUCCAAUCAUAUACACCUAUUUUGUAGCCUUACUCAAAUGAAAUCGAAGUGAUCUGACAUCCUGCCCGCCGAAACAGGUGGGGUCCACGCAGUCUGUCGGGGGGUUUAAACCCGGCGGUCGAGACGUCUCCCAAGGCGCUCGCUGGCCAUUGCAUUGCAUUUCCUCAGGUGCACCGACUCUAGGACUCUGGGUCAGGUUGGAAAGGCCCGGGGUGGAGGUGGCUCACGGCUCCAACCUUGAGUUUCCUCGCCCGGACCUCGCCGCUUCUUGGGGCCGUGGAGUGCUCGUUGCGCGGUGCGUCGGGGGUCUAUGGGGAUGUCGGCAACCUACUCGUCUUGAAGCAAGGACCCUGUCUUGUUUAACAUGCUUUGUGGGUAGGACUUUUGCCUUGUCAUCACCAUACAACCAAAUUGUUUAUGAUUACAUUGUUUACGAUAGUGCAAAGUUCUUCAUAGAUCUAGCCUCUUCAUUUUGCUCUCAAAGUGCACCAGAUUGAUGCAUUUAACUUUAAAAUGUACAAAAUGUGUCCACAGUCUCACAGAAUCCUGUUGGAAACACUGUAUUCAUCAUGGUCGUCACCAAAAACUGGAUGUCCCCCCCACUUCAAAACGUAUUCCGGUGCCGCUGGGUACAGUGGUAGAAAGUACAUUUACUCAAGUACUGUAGGCUACUGAAAGGAGCAUGAUGUAACACUUAGAGCUGGUGUGUAAAAUGGGUACCUCAGUCCAAAUUCAAAAUAUUGCCGAGAGCCGUCCCCCCCCCCCCCCCCCCCCCCCGCCCCCUCCUCCCUAGACCCGAGACUCGAAGUUCAUGCGGGUUGCCAGGUUGAGGACACUUCUGCAGAAGCCGUGUCCUAAACUUACAGUAUUGGGCGGAUUACUUAGAAAAUUCUACGUUAGCUAAAAGGAAACGUUCUUUUUCGUUCAGCCGGCAAGGGCUAAAGUUAUCUGUAGGCUGGAUAGUUAACUUUAACUUUAGCAAUCUAAGGCUAGCGAAAUUUGAACACAAUCAUUGAUUCAGUCACAAAAAUAAACUCUUCUCAAACUGGUAUAUGGUAUCUAUUAGAUAAGAUAAAUGGCUAUCAUGUAUUAAUUUGGGGGACAUAAGUCUCCUCAUCACUUCAUGCGGAUCUAAUAUUUUACUUUUGAUACUUUAGAUACAUUUGUACUUUUACUUAAGUAACAGGACUUUUUUCUCGUGGCAGAGUAUUUUGACGCUGUUUUACUGGUAUUUUUAUUUCAGUAAAAUGGUUAUUUAUAGUAUAACAGGCUUGUAUUGUCAGAGACAUGUAUAUGUUUUCCAUGUGGUCAGAGAAUUUCAAUAGGCUAGACAUAGUGUGAUAAUAUCUUUUUUUUUUUCCCCCUUAGCCAGGCUUAGCAUAAUCCUCUUUUACCCAAUUUAGCAUGCUUCCCAGCAACAAUAACUGUGACAUUACUGUACAUACAUUGCUAGCUCUAUCCUGGAUUGACCUCAGCAUAAGCACACACAAAAAAAAAGAUCCCAGAACAUGUGGUUUAAUCCGCUAUCAAGACUUAAAACCUUAUUUUGUUGAAAAGGAGUCAAAAACAGGGGCUGCCAGUGCACUGAGAUAACACAAUACAAGUCAACUUGGAUUUCCUGGAUACAUGGCGUCUUCUUCAUGGUGCUUGCCAGUGGUGGCUGCGAGCAUUGAUGGGCCCUGGUUCAAGAUUUUUUAAAUGGGCCCCCAUUCAACCUGAGACAUGCAAACAUAAACAUCAGAGCCAGCUGCUGGCAUUAGCAGAAGCUAUAGGGAAAUGUUGUUGGGGGGCUUGGGUACAGAGAGAGAGAGAGAGAGAGAGAGAGAGAGCCACAGAGAAAGAGAAAAAGAAUACAGUGACGCAUACACAUUGCUGAGGCAAAUGCGGCCUCCAGUAGAUUAUGUUUGCUCGUAUUUCCGUCUGCUCCGACAGCCUCACAAAGAGCAAUUUUUAUGGCUCGUUGGCUGAGGUGCACACCGACCUUUUGUGUUCACCUUGAUAGGCCACCGUGCAUUUUUACAUAAUGCAGAUUUAGGUGCGCAUCGAAAAAGAAAUAAUGCCACCCACAACUGCUUGUAAAUGACAACAAAAUGAACUCAAGGUCCCCCGACCUCGAAAAGUAAUGCACUAGAAUAGCCCACAUAAUAAUUCAUAUGUAAUCCAAGUAAUUGUGAGUUAGGAAAGGUGACGUAGUAUAAAAAAAAAAAAA
Sebastes umbrosus (honeycomb rockfish) is the source of this 3883-nucleotide long non-coding RNA. RefSeq lists it as uncharacterized. NCBI's taxonomy places the organism in Eukaryota, Metazoa, Chordata, Actinopteri, Perciformes, Sebastidae. The record is from RefSeq and is a predicted model, not a curated record. The transcript has 2 exons.